GAAACUAAACACAUUGUUCUUCACCAUAUUUGGAUUGCGUUUUCUGACCAUUAAAGGAAUAAUAUUCAGUUUGAUUUCAACUUGUCGAAUUUGGUUAAGUUGAGGUCGUUUGAACAUUAAAGCCAAGCCUCAAAGUAUGUGCUCAUGUAUAUCCAUGGAUCAAGCUUCUUCUUCCCAGAUGGUGUUAAAGAACAGGUCCUAUUCUUAGCUGCAGUGAUGGCAAGACGAUAAUGCAGAGCUUAAAGAUAUCUUGGUAUCUACCCCCCAGCAUUUAGUCAAUUCCCACACAGCUCUUAUAUAUAUAUAUAUAUAUAUAUAUGAAAACAUUAUCAUAAUAUAUACCUUCUUUAGUUAAAUUCAUGCUUCUUUAGCUCCAAAGCCUCUAGUCUUGAGUUCUAAAUGAAGCUAGUUUAGGGUAUGGGCAGAGAGGGUCAUUGCCCUGAUCACUCAAACCAGAGGGGAUAUCUAACUUGUGGACCUCAAACUGUUAUUUCACUACAACUUCUAUCACCAAAUGAAGCAGAAGGCUGUUUGAGGGGUGUUAUCAGUCAACUGCAGUUUAACAACAGCUGGAUGGGUAUCACAGGUUGGAUUCCACCCCCCCCCCCCAGUUAUAUAAUUGUUACCUUAGAUUGGUGCCCCAUUUUCCUGUAUUAUGCCCCCUCCCCAUCAAAUUCAAGCCCUUGUCAUUCAAGCUAUUUAAGCUAACAUAGGAUGGAAAAAUUGAAAAGUCUAAUGUAACAAUCUUAGUGCUAUGGUGCAUUGUGUAUUUUAUUGAGGUAAUAUAACCUUGGGGAUCACUUUCUAUUGACUACAAUAAAGGGGAGAAUUAUCAACAUUUGAAUUUGAUUUUUUCACAAUUCAUUUUUCCUUAAUAAGUAUUUAAUGCAAAGACAAGUGCAAACACAUUUUUAGUAAAAAAAAAAAAAAAAAAAAAAAGGAUGUGCAGUGCUAUUUAUACAGCUGACCAGUGGGAAGUAAUUUGUUUUUUAUAAUUUUUACAACAUGGCAGUCUGUGUUUAAAGUAAAUAAGCAAAAACAUAUGAAAUGCUGGCGCCUUUACCACUGCAUAGCAACACAAAUAAUUCCAGGUUGGCACAGUUUCUGUACCACUGUCAUUUAUCAACUUUAUAUUUGGUAACAUUGACACCUCUCCUACUAAAAUAGAAUGCCCAUGAAAAGGUAUUACAGGUAUUCCAAUUUGACAUGUACUUUUGUAAAAAUGUGUUAAAUUCCUCUAUUAAAGUGCUCUUAUGUAAACUA
Long non-coding RNA from Xenopus tropicalis (tropical clawed frog), 1263 nucleotides. RefSeq lists it as uncharacterized. The record is from RefSeq and is a predicted model, not a curated record. Lineage: Eukaryota; Metazoa; Chordata; Amphibia; Anura; Pipidae. The transcript has 2 exons.